RNAcentral lists this ribosomal RNA (253 nucleotides) under uncultured bacterium. RNAcentral's name for it is "partial 16S ribosomal RNA". It matches the Rfam family "Bacterial small subunit ribosomal RNA", at positions 524 to 776 of the family's 1533-position model. The record is from RNAcentral.
UACGUAGGGUGCGAGCGUUAAUCGGAAUUACUGGGCGUAAAGCGUGCGCAGGCGGUUUUGUAAGCCAGAUGUGAAAUCCCCGGGCUUAACCUGGGAAUGGCAUUUGGGACUGCAAAGCUUGAGUGCGGCAGAGGGGACUGGAAUUCCUGGUGUAGCAGUGAAAUGCGUAGAUAUCGUAAGGAAGACCAGUGGCGAAGGCGGGUCUCUGGACAGUUCCUGACGCUGAGGCACGAAGGUCAGGGGAGCAAACGGG